UACGGAGGGGGCUAGCGUUGUUCGGAAUUACUGGGCGUAAAGCGCGCGUAGGCGGCUUUGUAAAUUAGAGGUGAAAGCCCGGAGCUCAACUCCGGAACUGCCUUUAAGACUGCAUCGCUAGAAUUGUGGAGAGGUGAGUGGAAUUCCGAGUGUAGAGGUGAAAUUCGUAGAUAUUCGGAAGAACACCAGUGGCGAAGGCGACUCACUGGACACAUAUUGACGCUGAGGUGCGAAAGCGUGGGGAGCAAACAGG
This 253-nucleotide ribosomal RNA is filed under the name uncultured bacterium. RNAcentral's name for it is "partial 16S ribosomal RNA". It matches the Rfam family "Bacterial small subunit ribosomal RNA", at positions 524 to 776 of the family's 1533-position model. The record is from RNAcentral.